CUAUUAUUUUUUGUUGUAAAAGUUAGUUGUUGAGGUUUACCGAAGUAUUAUGAAGAUGGUUAAUAUUAUAUUAGAUUGUUGUUAUUUAAAACUUAAAAGGUUUGGCGGUUUUACAUAUCCAGUUAGGGGAGUUUGUUAAUAUAAUUUGAUAAUCCACAUUUUAAACUUACUCUUUUUGGUAUUAUAUAUAUAUAUAUAUAUAACAGUUUAUAUAUUGCUGUCGACAGUUUAUGUUUAAAGAUGAAAAGGACUAAGUAAAUUUUUUUGUUUUUAUGUCAAGUCAUAAUGUAGCUGAUGGAAGAGGUUUAAUGGACUACUUUGGUUAAUAUUAUUUAAAUUUAUCCGGAUAGUAGAAAUUAUAUUUUGUUAGAAAGGGGGACUUAAUAGUAAAAUAAAUAAUUAGUAUGUAUUUUUGAAUAUGGUUUUGUAAAGUGU
This 435-nucleotide ribosomal RNA is filed under the name Octopus cyanea. RNAcentral describes it as "partial 12S rRNA". Lineage: Eukaryota; Metazoa; Mollusca; Cephalopoda; Octopoda; Octopodidae. The record is from RNAcentral.